GACGAACCGUCCAAACGUUAUUCGGAAUUAUUGGGCUUAAAGGGUGCGUAGGCUGUGCAGUAAGUUGGGUGUGAAAUCCCUCGGCUCAACCGAGGAGCUGCGCCGAAUACUGCUGUGCUAGAGGAAGAUAGGGGUAAGCGGAACUGAUGGUGGAGCGGUGAAAUGCGUUGAUAUCAUCAGGAACACCGGUGGCGAAGGCGGCUUACUGGAUCUUUUCUGACGCUGAUGCACGAAAGCUAGGGGAGCGAACGGG
Molecule: ribosomal RNA, 253 nt
Filed under: uncultured bacterium
Lineage: Bacteria
Description: partial 16S ribosomal RNA
Rfam family: Bacterial small subunit ribosomal RNA
Source: RNAcentral